AAACGGUGAAUGAAAGAGGACCCGCUGAGGAUAAAAUUGCUUUGUCGGAGCAAUUACCCACGAGGAAGGGGAAGACCCGCUGGGGAUAAUGUUGCUUAAUCAAAGCAAAUAUCCGAAAGGGGAAAGAAAUAUCAAUACCGAAAAUUGGAUAAUGAUAACCACAAAGAGGGGAUUACAUCUACCGGUUAGUAGGUAGAAAACCACGGAACAGUAACCGUCAUCAAUUAGGAUGAACACAAAG
Molecule: long non-coding RNA, 241 nt
Filed under: Lathyrus oleraceus (garden pea)
Lineage: Eukaryota; Viridiplantae; Streptophyta; Magnoliopsida; Fabales; Fabaceae
Description: Pisum sativum (pea) long non-coding RNA (PSAT_LNC035870)
Source: RNAcentral